AAUCAUUUAGCUAAUUAAUAGCAUAUGUUUUGAAAACAUAAGAAAGAAGUUCAACCUUCUAAUGAUUU
RNAcentral lists this transfer RNA (68 nucleotides) under Ocellarnaca braueri. RNAcentral describes it as "tRNA-Ser". It matches the Rfam family "tRNA". From Rfam's summary of the family: Transfer RNA (tRNA) molecules are approximately 80 nucleotides in length. Lineage: Eukaryota; Metazoa; Arthropoda; Insecta; Orthoptera; Gryllacrididae. The record is from RNAcentral.